UUAUAGGAGAGAGGCGCCCAAGGUGAGGCUGAUGACUGGGAUGAAGUCGUAACAAGGUAGCCCUACCGGAAGGUGGGGCUGGAUCACCUCCUUUU
This 95-nucleotide ribosomal RNA is filed under the name Chlamydia pneumoniae. Its description in RNAcentral is "partial 16S ribosomal RNA". It matches the Rfam family "Bacterial small subunit ribosomal RNA", at positions 1440 to 1533 of the family's 1533-position model. Lineage: Bacteria; Pseudomonadati; Chlamydiota; Chlamydiia; Chlamydiales; Chlamydiaceae. The record is from RNAcentral.